Molecule: ribosomal RNA, 253 nt
Filed under: uncultured bacterium
Lineage: Bacteria
Description: partial 16S ribosomal RNA
Rfam family: Bacterial small subunit ribosomal RNA
Source: RNAcentral
GACAGAGGUGCCGAGCGUUAGGCGGAAUCACUGGGCUUAAAGCGUGUGUAGGCGGAUCCGUAAGUACCUUGUGAAAUCCCACGGCUCAACCGUGGAACUGCUGGGUAUACUGCGGAUCUUGAGCCACCUAGGGGCGAGCGGAACAAGUGGUGGAGCGGUGAAAUGCGUAGAUAUCACUUGGAACGCCAAUGGUGAAAACAGCUCGCUGGGGGUGUGCUGACGCUGAGACACGAAAGCCAGGGGAGCAAACGGG